RNAcentral lists this ribosomal RNA (119 nucleotides) under Pteropus alecto (black flying fox). The record is from RNAcentral. Lineage: Eukaryota; Metazoa; Chordata; Mammalia; Chiroptera; Pteropodidae.
GUCUACGACCAUGCCACCCUGAACACGCCCGAUCCCAUCUGAUCUCAGAAGCUAAGCCGGGUUGGGCCUAGUUAGUACUUGGAUGGGAGACCAACUAGGAAUAUCGGGUGCUGUAAGCG